AUGAUUGGUAGGCUGAAAUAUUACUCCCAUGGUGAAAGAGUCUGGGUAGAAGAAAGUUACUUACAUUAUGGUGUUCAGGAAGAGGAGAGAGAAGGUAAGAUCCCAGGAGAGAGAUACACCCUUUCUAAGGAUGACUACUAUGACCCACCUCUAGCGAAGCAUCGUCAUUUAACAGCAAAGCAACGAAGCUAUGACCAAAGUGAUAGUCCUGGCACAAUCAAAAUAUUUGGAGAAGGAACUAAGCUCAUUGUAGUCCCUUCAGGUGAAGUGUUUGAUGCAGACAUUUCCCCCAAGCCCUCUAUGCUUCUGCCUUCAGUGAGUGAAACAAAGACUGAUGAGGCUGGGACCUAUCUUUGUCUCCUGGAGAAGUUUUUUCCAGAAGAUAUUAAGGUGUAUUGGAAAGAAAAGGAUCAUGAUGGCCUUCUGCAGUCCCAGCAGGGAGACACAGUGAAGAUUAACAGCACCUACAUGAAACUUAGCUGGGUGACUGUGGCUGGAGAAGCAAUGACCAAAGAGCACACACUGAUUGUCAAACACGAGAAUAAUAAAGGGGGAGUUGAUCAGGAGAUUGUCUUCCCUCCAAUAAAGAAAGUUACUUCAGACCUAGAAGCUUGCUUGAAAAUUGCAAAUGGUUUGCUGAGCCUGCAGCUCACCAACACUUCUGCCUACUACACCUACCUCCUGCUGCUGCUCAAGAGCGCCCUCCAUGGAACCUUCAUCACCUUUUGUCUGUGCAGACCAUCAGCUGUUUACAGGGACAGGAAGAGUACCUGACAGAGGAAGCAUGCAGGGCCAUGGAGUCUCCACUGCUUCCUGUCUCUCUAAAGAUAAUAACACUUUGCUAGCCCCAGCUCCUAAAGGCCGCGUGCGUAUUAUUCUACCAUUGUCGUAUAAGGCUUUCCCAACUUCACUGUGUUGUAGCAAGGUUUAGUCCACAGCUACCCCAAUCCCAUUUGUCCUCAGUUCCCAUAAUGCCUGCAGCUGGCCCAGGUCCUCCCAACUUUCAGGUGCACAACUCUCCACUUCCAAUCAGGAGCCAAGUACCCUUGAACCAGGUCACCUCCACAUGUCUCCCUCUACCCCAUGACACAGCCUUCUCGGCUAUUGAAUUCCAUGCUUUGUUUUGAGUG
This is a non-coding RNA of Octodon degus (degu), 1130 nucleotides long. Lineage: Eukaryota; Metazoa; Chordata; Mammalia; Rodentia; Octodontidae. The record is from the annotation of a RefSeq genome assembly.